UAGUUACUUUAUUUGGAAAGCCGGAAGACUGAGAGGAUGGCCGACUGAGGUCUUGGAGAACCAUCCUGCUCUAGUCAGAAUACAGGCUCCUUUUAUACAAAAAAUA
Non-coding RNA from Vicugna pacos (alpaca), 106 nucleotides. NCBI's taxonomy places the organism in Eukaryota, Metazoa, Chordata, Mammalia, Artiodactyla, Camelidae. The record is from RefSeq and is a predicted model, not a curated record.